This 944-nucleotide long non-coding RNA is filed under the name Daphnia pulex (common water flea). Its description in RNAcentral is "uncharacterized LOC124204654, transcript variant X1". The record is from RNAcentral. Lineage: Eukaryota; Metazoa; Arthropoda; Branchiopoda; Diplostraca; Daphniidae.
GCUUCCAUGGAACUUUCUAGGUUUCGUUCUUUGGAGCUUUCGCUGCUGUCGUCACUUGAUGGCAUCGGCAUGGCGUUGACGACCACUAGACUUAUGCAGCACGACACGAGCAAUAGCUGCGACAGACUGGCCCACUGGCCAUAAAGUAGGACGAGUCGCUCAAGGCACUUAGGUAAAUACCCUUGAAAGUAAAAACCUACCGCACAGCUUCUUAUUGAUGUCAGCACUGCUUUCAACCAUCAUGAGCGCCUCUUCCGGCUCUGCCGCCGCAUCUUCUUGCUCAGGUUAAUUCCUCCCUUGAUUGGUCUGGAGCAUCAAGUGAUGUCGAGGGGAAUUUUCUUAUCAAGGUGCUACAAGGAGGAAACGUCUAGGAGUAGUGCAGCCUACUGUCAACUAUUUUGUUCAAAAUCAUUGUAUAUUUUACUGAAUGUGCCAUUGAAAUGAUACAGGAUUCAUCAUAAUUGUCCGCUGUUUGUAUUGGACUUGCAAGAUUACCUACCCCAGCAUGGAUCAAUCGCUCAUUCCAUCUUCUAGAGAACCUUGGAUAACUGAUUGAUGGUUUCAUGUGUUCUAAACUGCUGGUUUCUAAAUUUGCAUGGCAGAUUUUAUGAAAAGUCCUGUCAUUUCAAGAAAAGUCAACAAGGUCUGUUGUUUGCUGACCUGUUGGCUGCUACCUUGAAUCCUCCUUGUUGACUUCUUUACACAGGCCCUCCUGAUUUGAGGGUAAUCCUUCGCUACUGAUCAUGGACUUCAUCCAUUGGUGACAACCGACGAGAGAAUACUGUAAUUGAAGACAGAUCAAUUGUUUAGUUAGAUCAAAUUACAAGUGCAUAUCUGGGCUCCCUUCUUUUCUGUGGCCCCGUUUCCCUAACUAACCACUAACCAACGCCCGCCGGUGGUCACUCACCCGCUGUGAACCCAGGAGGAGGGGAGGGCUCUGGUCG